Molecule: long non-coding RNA, 345 nt
Organism: Pezoporus occidentalis (night parrot)
Lineage: Eukaryota; Metazoa; Chordata; Aves; Psittaciformes; Psittacidae
Exons: 3
Source: RefSeq, a predicted model, not a curated record
GAAAAAGACUGUCUUCACCCACUUCCAAACCUCCCAGUUUAAAGGCUGGUUUCACAGAAGUCGCUAUGAAUUUUGCCUUUGACCUCAGUGCCACUAUUGCUUCAUCCAUUAAUAUACAGAUUGCUUCUUUUCCUUCAUUUUCCAGAGCAGAGCCAGGAGUUAACCAUGGUAGGAUUGUUUGGGAAUGCUUCUUUCAGUACUGGAAGACCACUUCUUUUUCUUGUUCCCCAAGGGAGCUGGAAUCCUCACCAGCAGAAAGCACAAAGAUCUGUUAUGACUGUAGGACUGCAGGCUGCAAAACACAGGAAUCACAGGGAAGGAACCAUUGCAUCUCAAUGGAGGAGC